This 280-nucleotide ribosomal RNA is filed under the name uncultured bacterium. Its description in RNAcentral is "partial 16S ribosomal RNA". It matches the Rfam family "Bacterial small subunit ribosomal RNA", at positions 506 to 784 of the family's 1533-position model. The record is from RNAcentral.
UGCCAGCAGCCGCGGUAAUACGGAGGGUGCGAGCGUUAAUCGGAAUUACUGGGCGUAAAGCGCGCGUAGGCGGUUUGUUAAGUCGGCUGUGAAAGCCCCGGGCUCAACCUGGGAAUUGCAGUCGAUACUGACCGACUAGAGUACGAGAGAGGGUAGUGGAAUUUCCAUGUGUAGCGGUGAAAUGCGUAGAUAUGUGGAGGAAUACCAGUGGCGAAGGCGGCCUCCUGGCUCGACACUGACACUGAGGUGCGAAAGCGUGGGGAGCAAACAGGAUUAGAUA